This 197-nucleotide ribosomal RNA is filed under the name Neoponera oberthueri. RNAcentral's name for it is "partial large subunit ribosomal RNA". The record is from RNAcentral. Lineage: Eukaryota; Metazoa; Arthropoda; Insecta; Hymenoptera; Formicidae.
GAAUUUUAUAUAAUUUUAUUAAUUAUUUAAUAAAAUUAUAUUUAAUUGGGAGGAUUAUUAAAUUUAAUAAACUUUAAUUAAAUUUAUACUUUUUUGAAGAAAUAAAUAAUUAAUAAUUUUUAAUUAAUAAAAAAUUAAUUACCUUAGGGAUAACAGCAUAAUAUUUUUUUAUAGAUCUUAUAUAAAAAAUUGUUUAU